This 254-nucleotide ribosomal RNA is filed under the name uncultured bacterium. RNAcentral's name for it is "partial 16S ribosomal RNA". It matches the Rfam family "Bacterial small subunit ribosomal RNA", at positions 524 to 776 of the family's 1533-position model. The record is from RNAcentral.
UACGUAGGGUCCAAGCGUUAUCCGGAAUUACUGGGCGUAAAGCGUACGCAGAUGGCGUUACAGGUGAGAUGCGAAAUCUUAUGGCUCAACCAUAUAGACUGUUUCUCAAACCGUAACACUAGAGGUUGGUAGAGGCAAGCGGAAUUCCCGGUGUAGCAGUGACAUGCGUAGAUAUCGGGAGGAACACCAAUGGCGAAGGCAGCUUGCUGGGCCACACCUGACGUUAAGGUACGAAAGCGUGGGGAGCGAACGGG